CGAAACCAGGUGAUCUACCCAUGUCCAGGAUGAAGGUAAGGUAAUACUUACUGGAGGUCCGAACCCACGCACGUUGAAAAGUGCGGGGAUGAGGUGUGGGUAGCGGAGAAAUUCCAAUCGAACUUGGAGAUAGCUGGUUCUCUCCGAAAUAGCUUUAGGGCUAGCCUCGAGGUAAAGAGUCAUGGAGGUAGAGCACUGUUUGGACUAGGGGCCCUUCUCGGGUUACCGAAUUCAGAUAAACUCCGAAUGCCAUGUACUUAUACUCGGGAGUCAGACUGCGAGUGAUAAGAUCCGUAGUCGAAAGGGAAACAGCCCAGACCACCAGUUAAGGUCCCCAAAUAUAU
Molecule: ribosomal RNA, 344 nt
Filed under: Listeria monocytogenes
Lineage: Bacteria; Bacillati; Bacillota; Bacilli; Caryophanales; Listeriaceae
Description: partial 23S ribosomal RNA
Rfam family: Bacterial large subunit ribosomal RNA
Source: RNAcentral